RNAcentral lists this ribosomal RNA (97 nucleotides) under uncultured bacterium. RNAcentral's name for it is "partial 16S ribosomal RNA". It matches the Rfam family "Bacterial small subunit ribosomal RNA", at positions 1386 to 1482 of the family's 1533-position model. The record is from RNAcentral.
CACACCGCCCGUCACACCAUGGAAGUCUGCUGCACCAGAAGUAGGUAGUCAAACCGCAAGGGGGGCGCCUACCACGGUGUGGCCGAUGACUGGGGUG